This 253-nucleotide ribosomal RNA is filed under the name uncultured bacterium. RNAcentral describes it as "partial 16S ribosomal RNA". It matches the Rfam family "Bacterial small subunit ribosomal RNA", at positions 524 to 776 of the family's 1533-position model. The record is from RNAcentral.
UACGAAGGGGGCGAGCGUUGUUCGGAUUUACUGGGCGUAAAGGGCGCGCAGGCGGCUCAUUUUGUCAGGCGUGAAAGCCCCGGGCUUAACCUGGGAACUGCGUUUGAUACGGAUGGGCUAGAGUUCGGGAGAGGAGAGUGGAAUUCCCAGUGUAGAGGUGAAAUUCGUAGAUAUUGGGAAGAACACCAGUGGCGAAGGCGGGUCUCUGGACAGUUCCUGACGCUGAGGCACGAAGGCCAGGGGAGCAAACGGG